GAUGAACGCUGGCGGCGUGCCUAAUACAUGCAAGUCGAGCGAACAGACGAGGAGCUUGCUCCUCUGACGGUAGCGGCGGACGGGUGAGUAACACGUGGAUAACCUAUCUAUAAGACUGGGAUAACUUCGGGAAACCGGAGCUAAUACCGGAUAAUAUAUUGAACCGCAUGGUUCAAUAGUGAAAGACGGUUUUGCUGUCACUUAUAGAUGGAUCCGCGCCGCAUUAGCUAGUUGGUAAGGUAACGGCUUACCAAGGCAACGAUGCGUAGCCGACCUGAGAGGGUGAUCGGCCACACUGGAACUGAGACACGGUCCAGACUCCUACGGGAGGCAGCAGUAGGGAAUCUUCCGCAAUGGGCGAAAGCUUGACGGAGCAACGCCGCGUGAGUGAUGAAGGUCUUCGGAUCGUAAAACUCUGUUAUUAGGGAAGAACAAAUGUGUAAGUAACUAUGCACGUCUUGACGGUACCUAAUCAGAAAGCCACGGCUAACUACGUG
RNAcentral lists this ribosomal RNA (497 nucleotides) under uncultured bacterium. RNAcentral's name for it is "partial 16S ribosomal RNA". It matches the Rfam family "Bacterial small subunit ribosomal RNA", at positions 28 to 507 of the family's 1533-position model. The record is from RNAcentral.